GAUCAUGAACUCUAAUGUGUGUGAUCUCAUAGGUCUGAAUCUAAAUUGGUAGCACAAAAAUAAAUUUCUAUACCAAUCGAAGUGAUCAUCUAGCAAUGGUACCCGACGGUCGGAUAGAUCAAAUGUGUAGAACAACAUCCUUAGAACCCAUGCAGAUAUAGUUUCUAUAUAAUUCAUCUCCUUGACCAAAAUAUUCAUAGGACACCUCAAAGUUCAACUGUCAACUCUGAUCAGGUUAUCCACAUUGUGUUUCAAAAUAUCAAAUCCAUUUGAUGGAUUAUCCUGAUCAAGAUUUUGCUAAAUUGAAAUACAGUGACUCAUUCUUUUCUAACUCUUGGAGUGGUCAAUCCCAUCUCGAUCAUACUCUGACUUUGCAAGUACUUGACUAUGCCCAUAAGUCUUCCAUCACUGAAUUAAAAAUUUAGUUAGCUCAGUACCAAAGCACAGUGAGUUGUUUGCAAGUCACUGAGGCGAUCUCAGGUCUAAGGGAUACUUAUACCUAUAUCCCAUCAGAGAUAUUCUCGACAGCAGAAUGCUCUGGAGUUGGUCACGUUCAAUGAUGAUGUACCCUUACAUCUCACCUGUAUGCCAUACCAGUGUCUCCACACUCCUUGGUUAAGAGGACAACCAACCC
This 634-nucleotide long non-coding RNA is filed under the name Elaeis guineensis (African oil palm). Its description in RNAcentral is "long non-coding RNA (EGUI_LNC056573)". The record is from RNAcentral. Lineage: Eukaryota; Viridiplantae; Streptophyta; Magnoliopsida; Arecales; Arecaceae.